UGUGGGAGCGGGCUUGCUCGCGAUGCAGGCAACGCGGUAUGCCUGUUACACCUUGCCGAUUCAAUCGCGAGCAAGCCCGCUCCCACA
This 87-nucleotide non-coding RNA is filed under the name Pseudomonas psychrophila. Lineage: Bacteria; Pseudomonadati; Pseudomonadota; Gammaproteobacteria; Pseudomonadales; Pseudomonadaceae. The record is from RNAcentral.